CCAAUUCUGAAACACUAUUUCAUAUAUGAUCACUGACGUUAAGCAACGUCAAGCCUGGUCAGUACCUAGAUGGGUGACUGCUUGGGAAUAACAGGUGCUGUAA
This 103-nucleotide ribosomal RNA is filed under the name Acanthosepion pharaonis. The record is from RNAcentral. Lineage: Eukaryota; Metazoa; Mollusca; Cephalopoda; Sepiida; Sepiidae.